CCAAGCGUGUUGUAUUUUUCCGAUUUGCUGCUAAUUUACGAAGUGCGAUAUUAAAAUAAACUUAACAAAAGUCAAAUAAAAGACGGGAACAAUUCUGGCACAUAGUUCGUUUCGGUUAAUCAUACGUAAAUCGCGUGUUAAACGUAAUAUUAAACUACAAAAAGUUAUGGCGUCCCCUUCUCCUUUUCGUACGAAUUUAAAUCGGCGUUUGCGUAUAGGAUCUCGGGACGCGAACACGUUAAUUUUGAUUUUGUUGUUAAAUUCAACGCUUAAAUUAACAAAAACCGGCGGGGAAGUGUUCACAAAUCGGUCUUUUCGAUGUCGUGUUAAAUGUUAUCGCAAGAACAAAUAGAUGGCGUCCUAUUUUAAAUUCGUUUGUUUACGUUUAAAACUUAACGUUUUGUGCCCCCUGUUUUCGUGUUUGAAUCAAGACGCCUAAGAUUUCAUUGAUAUGUUGAUGUGGGUUCUUGACGAACGAGGAGUGCCGGGGAAGUGUGCAGUGUUUCAUCAUUACUUUGGUUGAUAUGGUUCUUCCCAGGACAGACUGAAUUAUUGAGGCUAAAGGAUUGCAGAAAGGCGGCCUCAUAAGGUAGGAUUUUUCCUUUUAUGCAUGGUGUAUUGCAUGUCAUUUUUUGUACGGGGGGCAAAAGUGAAUAGUGAAUAUCAACCAGAAGGAAGACCAAUAAUUGUUCUGAGCAUGAGCUUCGUGUGUAUUUUCCCUGUCUGUCAUCCUAGUGACGUACGAUUGACUGCAAUGAUUCUUAGGAUAGACUUUUUCGCAGCGUCCAUCUGUUUCCUUCAUAUUGGCGAGUGUGACUGUGAAUUCACAGCCAUACCAGCUCUGUGAUGCAAACAGAUUUACUCUGCGAAUAAGCCUAAAGAAUCAUUGGUGCCGUUUUUCCGUUCCCAAGCUGAGGGACUUUGAGAAUUAUUACAUUUUCAUUUAUUAUUGCACGAAGUUCAUCUUAGAGGAAGGUAAGUGCGUGGUCAUAAUAUAAUAAUGGAUUACUUCAUCAACUAAAAACUUUAUGUGGUUACCUAGCUACGUACUAAUCUCAUCGAUUGUUACAGGCGCCAACGUCGCUCAAUCUGCUGGUGAGGAUUAUGCUGAUCGCCAGUGCCGGAUUAAAUUUUCCGAAAGCCCCCCUCCACCCCUCCCUUUAUCAAAAAUUUCAGUUCCAACUUUUACCUUUUAAGACUGUCAACAAGCAAUUGAACAAGAAACUAAAUUUUUUGGUUCUCUGAUCGAUUAUUGAGAUUAUUGUUUGUAGCGUCCAAUUAUUUUGAAAUUAUACCUGCUUGCCACACUCUGUGGUAUUUUUUAAUGGUCAAUAAGAAGUUACAGAUAUUUCCAAAUUUUACGGGAACAUUCGUAUUACUUGUAUUCCCCCCGGGUUUCCAAGCGCUGUAGCCCCCAUUGUCUCCCUCUUAAUCCAGCGCUGCCAACGACCUCUGCGAUGGAUCAGCUCGAAUUCAGGCCUGCUUUCGACUCAGUUCAACGAUUAUAUCGACAUGGAUCACGCAAACGAGUUAUUGGUAAUGGCGUUCGAGGAGAAUCCAUGAUCGUGAAGGCCUACGGUGAUGGUGCCAGACUGUAUUAAUAAGGUUAAGAUUGUAGAAGUGCAGCCUUAUAAAGGUAGGAUUUUUCUUUUCUAUGCAUGGUUGUAUUAUUUUGCAGCAGUGGGGGAAAAGUGAAGUGUAUAGUGCAACUAAAAGUGAUCUUUAGUGACUCAGUUUUUCAACUGGGUUGAUUAUUCCUAAGGUCUCUCUCGCGGCAUCAAUCAGUUUGUAUCGAUCGGCAUGACUAUGACUUCAUAGCCAUACCAAUUUUACGAAGCGAAAUGAUUUUUUUCUGCGAAUCUCACUGUGAUAAAAGAUACCGGGUGAUUCAUUAGGAGUGAUAAACGCUUGAAUUUCGCGCGUAAGGUUUUAGUAUUUUUUGCAUUGUUAGAU
Long non-coding RNA from Photinus pyralis (common eastern firefly), 1953 nucleotides. RefSeq lists it as uncharacterized. The transcript has 5 exons. The record is from RefSeq and is a predicted model, not a curated record. Lineage: Eukaryota; Metazoa; Arthropoda; Insecta; Coleoptera; Lampyridae.